Molecule: ribosomal RNA, 254 nt
Filed under: uncultured bacterium
Lineage: Bacteria
Description: partial 16S ribosomal RNA
Rfam family: Bacterial small subunit ribosomal RNA
Source: RNAcentral
UACAGAGGGGGCAAGCGUUGUUCGGAAUUACUGGGCGUAAAGGGCGCGUAGGCGGCCUACUAAGUCGAACGUGAAAUCCCCGGGCUUAACCCGGGAACUGCGUCCGAUACUGGUUGGGCUUGAAUCCGGGAGAGGGAUGUGGAAUUCCAGGUGUAGCGGUGAAAUGCGUAGAUAUCUGGAGGAACACCGGUGGCGAAGGCGGCAUCCUGGACCGGCACUGACGCUGAGGCGCGAAAGCGUGGGGAGCAAACAGG